UUGACGGUACCCUACUAGAAAGGAGCCGCUAACUUCGUGCCAGAAGCGUCGGUAAUACGGGGGCUCCAAGCGUUAUCCGGUGUUAUUGGGCGUAAAGAGUCGUGUAGGUGGUUGGGUAAGUUAUCUUUCAAAUAUCUUUGCUUAACAAAGAGGAGGGGGAUAAUACUGCUCGACUAGAAUUUUCUCAAGGGAGAUCGGAACUGAGGGAGGAGUAGUGAAAUGCGUUGAUACCCUCGGGAACACCAGUGGCGUAGGCGGAUCUCUGGGAGAAGAUUGACACUGAGACAUGAAAGCUAGGGGAGCGAAGCAGAUUAGAGACCUGCGUAGUCCUAGCCGUAAACGCAUGCUUGCUAGCUGCAUGAAUCUACCUUCGGGUGGUAUCGUGUGGCGAAGGUAACCCGUUAAGCAAGCCGCCUGGAAAGUACGGCCGCAAGGCUGAAAUUCAAAGGAAUUGGCGGGGAGGCACACAACCAGUGGAACAUGUGGUUUAAUUCGAGACUAACCGAAGAACCUCACCAGGGUUUGACAUGUAGCUGCACGUCUUAAGAAAUUAAGACUCUCUUGAAGGUGCUACACAGGUGCUGCAUGGCUGUCGUCAGCUCGUUCCGUGAGGAGUGCCCUUAAGUGGGACAACGAGCGCAACCCCUAUUACAUGUUAGAAAUGUCAUGUAAGACUGCCUUGCCAUUUGGCGGGGAGGAAGGAGGGGCAGACGUCAAGUCCGCAUGGUCCUUAUGCCCUGGGCUACACACAUGUUACAAUGAGUACGGCAAUGAGUCUGUCGCGAGCACGUAAGUGUAAGCUAAUCUCUUAAAUGUACUCUCAGUGGGGAUUGAGGUCUGCAACUCGACCUCAUGAACACGGAAUUGGUAGUAAUCGCGGGUCAGCUAUACCGCGGUGAUACGUUCUUGCCUCUUGCACACACCGCCCGUCAAACCAGCAAAGU
Molecule: ribosomal RNA, 944 nt
Filed under: uncultured organism
Description: bacterial SSU rRNA
Rfam family: Bacterial small subunit ribosomal RNA
Source: RNAcentral